Molecule: ribosomal RNA, 1217 nt
Filed under: uncultured bacterium
Lineage: Bacteria
Description: bacterial SSU rRNA
Rfam family: Bacterial small subunit ribosomal RNA
Source: RNAcentral
CUGGGAUUAAUACCGCAUAGUAUCGAAAGAUUAAAGCAGCAAUGCGCUUGGGGAUGGGCUCGCGGCCUAUUAGUUAGUUGGUGAGGUAACGGCUCACCAAGGCGAUGACGGGUAGCCGGUCUGAGAGGAUGUCCGGCCACACUGGAACUGAGACACGGUCCAGACACCUACGGGUGGCAGCAGUCGAGAAUCAUUCACAAUGGGGGAAACCCUGAUGGUGCGACGCCGCGUGGGGGAAUGAAGGUCUUCGGAUUGUAAACCCCUGUCAUGUGGGAGCAAAUUAAAAAGAUAGUACCACAAGAGGAAGAGACGGCUAACUCUGUGCCAGCAGCCGCGGUAAUACAGAGGUCUCAAGCGUUGUUCGGAAUCACUGGGCGUAAAGCGUGCGUAGGCUGUUUCGUAAGUCGUGUGUGAAAGGCGCGGGCUCAACCCGCGGACGGCACAUGAUACUGCGAGACUAGAGUAAUGGAGGGGGAACCGGAAUUCUCGGUGUAGCAGUGAAAUGCGUAGAUAUCGAGAGGAACACUCGUGGCGAAGGCGGGUUCCUGGACAUUAACUGACGCUGAGGCACGAAGGCCAGGGGAGCGAAAGGGAUUAGAUACCCCUGUAGUCCUGGCAGUAAAACGGUGCACGCUUGGUGUGCGGGGAAUCGACCCCCUGCGUGCCGGAGCUAACGCGUUAAGCGUGCCGCCUGGGGAGUACGGUCGCAAGAUUAAAACUCAAAGAAAUUGACGGGGACCCGCACAAGCGGUGGAGUAUGUGGCUUAAUUCGAUGCAACGCGAAGAACCUUACCUGGGCUUGACAUGUAAUGAACAACAUGUGAAAGCAUGCGACUCUUCGGAGGCGUUACACAGGUGCUGCAUGGCCGUCGUCAGCUCGUGUCGUGAGAUGUUUGGUUAAGUCCAGCAACGAGCGCAACCCCUGUUGCCAGUUACCAGCACGUGAAGGUGGGGACUCUGGCGAGACUGCCCAGAUCAACUGGGAGGAAGGUGGGGACGACGUCAGGUCAGUAUGGCCCUUAUGCCCAGGGCUGCACACGUACUACAAUGCCCAGUACAGAGGGGGCCGAAGCCGCGAGGCGGAGGAAAUCCUAAAAACUGGGCCCAGUUCGGACUGUAGGCUGCAACCCGCCUACACGAAGCCGGAAUCGCUAGUAAUGGCGCAUCAGCUACGGCGCCGUGAAUACGUUCCCGGGUCUUGCACUCACCGCCCGUCA